GAUGAACGCUAGCGGCAGGCCUAAUACAUGCAAGUCGAGGGGCAGCGCGGUAGCAAUACUGGCGGCGACCGGCGCACGGGUGCGUAACACGUAUGCAACCUACCUUCAACUGGAGGAUAGCCCGGGGAAACUCGGAUUAAUACUCCAUAACACAGGGAUCCCGCAUGGGAAUAUUGUUAAAGCUACGGCGGUUGAAGAUGGGCAUGCGUUCGAUUAGCUAGUUGGUGUAGGUAACGGCUCACCAAGGCUACGAUCGAUAGGGGGUCUGAGAGGAUGAUCCCCCACACUGGUACUGAGAUACGGACCAGACUCCUACGGGAGGCAGCAGUAGGGAAUAUUGGUCAAUGGGCGCAAGCCUGAACCAGCCAUGCCGCGUGCAGGAAGAAGGGCCCCUCUGGGUUGUAAACUGCUUUUGAUAGGGACAAAUGCCACUUGCGAGUGGAGCUGAGUGUACCUAUAGAAUAAGCACCGGCUAACUCCGUGCCAGCAGCCGCGGUAA
Molecule: ribosomal RNA, 499 nt
Filed under: uncultured bacterium
Lineage: Bacteria
Description: bacterial SSU rRNA
Rfam family: Bacterial small subunit ribosomal RNA
Source: RNAcentral